AUUGAACGCUGGCGGCAGGCUUAACACAUGCAAGUCGAGCGGAAACGAAGAUAGCUUGCUAUCAGGCGUCGAGCGGCGGACGGGUGAGUAACGCGUAGGAAUCUACCUAGUAGUGGGGGACAACCUGGUGAAAACCAGGCUAAUACCGCAUACGCCCUUUGGGGGAAAGAUUUAUCGGAGAAGGAUCGGCCCGCGUAAGAUUAGAUAGUUGGUGGGGUAAUGGCCUACCAAGUCUACGAUCUUUAGCUGGUUUUAGAGGAUGAUCAGCAACACUGGGACUGAGACACGGCCCAG
Molecule: ribosomal RNA, 294 nt
Filed under: uncultured bacterium
Lineage: Bacteria
Description: partial 16S ribosomal RNA
Rfam family: Bacterial small subunit ribosomal RNA
Source: RNAcentral